Long non-coding RNA from Pan troglodytes (chimpanzee), 689 nucleotides. RefSeq lists it as uncharacterized. The transcript is spliced from 3 exons. Lineage: Eukaryota; Metazoa; Chordata; Mammalia; Primates; Hominidae. The record is from RefSeq and is a predicted model, not a curated record.
GAUCCUUCUUAGAAAUUCCUAAGGCUCAAUGCUGUGUGGAAGAUUCUGAGAAAGAAAAUAGUUUCUGAUCUUUGGGAUUCCCGAGAUGGUCCAAUCUGCAAAAAGUUCAUUGCCAUUUCCAUCAAGGACACUGAGAACAAGAGUCUUAUCUGGAUUGGAUCCUGGGAAUUGAGAAGCUUCAGCAGGGCUUCCGCUGGGACUAGGAUCAGGAUGUGGACACCCCCAACGUGGACCGUCUGGCCGGGGAGGGCGUCAAGGCCAAGUACCUCAUGCCGCCCCUUGUCACAAUGACCUCCCCGUCCCACUUCACUGCCAUCCCAGGUAUAGACUAGAAGCAAGCCACGGGUCCUGCCUACACUCCAGGGGAGAGGAGAUUACACCUGGCAUUUAUCCAGGGCAAGAACCUAAGGGGUCAUCUCAGAAUUCUGCCUUCCAAAUAGAUCCUCGGUGGAGCUUACAUGCCUGGGCGAGCACCAGCCUUUGUUUAAAGGCAACAGAGAAUGGUGUCCUGGCUCAGACCUCCAGCAAGCCUCCACAAUGAUGGUCCAGUAUCUGAAGCCAGGGCCAAGGCAGCAGGAGCUUCGGGUGCACAUGGGGGCUUCCCCCACUUUGAAGUGAGUCAUCACAUCCGUAUUAGACCCUCGUUGUUGCUUAGGCAAAAAUGAUGAUUUAGAAGAAGAUGGAGAGAA